CCUACGGGAGGCAGCAGUGAGGAAUAUUGGUCAAUGGUCGGGAGACUGAACCAGCCAAGCCGCGUGAGGGAGGAAGGUACAGAGUAUCGUAAACCUCUUUUGUCAGGGAACAAAGGCGGGGACGUGUCCCCGGAUGAGUGUACCUGAAGAAAAAGCAUCGGCUAACUCCGUGCCAGCAGCCGCGGUAAUACGGAGGAUGCGAGCGUUAUCCGGAUUUAUUGGGUUUAAAGGGUGCGCAGGCGGUCUGUUAAGUCAGCGGUCAAAGCCCGGGGCUCAACCCCGGCCCGCCGUUGAAACUGGCAGUCUCGAGUUGGAGAGAAGUAUGCGGAAUGCGCGGUGUAGCGGUGAAAGGCAUAGAUAUCGCGCAGAAAUCCGAUUGCGAAGGCAGCAUGCCGGCUCCACACUGACGCUGAGGCACGAAAGCGUGGGUAUCGAACAGGAUUAGAUACCCGGGUAGUC
Molecule: ribosomal RNA, 459 nt
Filed under: uncultured bacterium
Lineage: Bacteria
Description: partial 16S ribosomal RNA
Rfam family: Bacterial small subunit ribosomal RNA
Source: RNAcentral